UUGGCGGACGGGUGAGUAACGCGUGGAAAACCUGCCGUAUACUGGGGGAUAACACUUAGAAAUAGGUGCUAAUACCGCAUAAGCGCACAGCUUCGUAUGAAGCGGUGUGAAAAACUCUGGUGGUAUACGAUGGUUCCCGCGUCUGAUUAGCCAGUUGGUGGGGUAAUGGCCUACCAAGGCAACGAUCAGUAGCCGGCCUGAGAGGGUGAACGGCCACAUUGGGACUGAGACACGGCCCAAACUCCUACGGAAGGCAGCAG
Molecule: ribosomal RNA, 260 nt
Filed under: uncultured bacterium
Lineage: Bacteria
Description: partial 16S ribosomal RNA
Rfam family: Bacterial small subunit ribosomal RNA
Source: RNAcentral